CAGCAGCCACGGGAAUACAGAGGGUGCGCGCGUUAAUCGGAUUUACUGGGCGUAAAGCGUGCGUAGGCGGCUUCUUAAGUCGGAUGUGAAAUCCCUGAGCUUAACUUAGGAAUUGCAUUCGAUACUGGGAAGCUAGAGUAUGGGAGAGGAUGGUAGAAUUCCAGGUGUAGCGGUGAAAUGCGUAGAGAUCUGGAGGAAUACCGAUGGCGAAGGCAGCCAUCUGGCCUAAUACUGACGCUGAGGUACGAAAGCAUGGGGAGCAAACAGGAUUAGAUACCCCUGUAGUCCCUGUCUCUUAUAC
Molecule: ribosomal RNA, 301 nt
Filed under: uncultured bacterium
Lineage: Bacteria
Description: partial 16S ribosomal RNA
Rfam family: Bacterial small subunit ribosomal RNA
Source: RNAcentral